CCUACGGGAGGCAGCAGUGAGGAAUAUCGGUCAAUGGACGAGAGUCUGAACCAGCCAAGUAGCGUGAAGGAUGACUGCCCUAUGGGUUGUAAACUUCUUUUAUAUGGGAAUAAAAUGUUCCACGUGUGGGAUUUUGUAUGUACCAUAUGAAUAAGGAUCGGCUAACUCCGUGCCAGCAGCCGCGGUAAUACGGAGGAUCCGAGCGUUAUCCGGAUUUAUUGGGUUUAAAGGGAGCGUAGGUGGAUUGUUAAGUCAGUUGUGAAAGUUUGCGGCUCAACCGUAAAAUUGCAGUUGAAACUGGCAGUCUUGAGUACAGUAGAGGUGGGCGGAAUUCGUGGUGUAGCGGUGAAAUGCUUGGAUAUCACGAAGAACUCCGAUUGCGAAGGCAGUUCACUGGACUGCAACUGACACUGAGGCUCGAAAGUGUGGGUAUCAAACAGGAUUAGAUACCCCAGUAGUC
This 460-nucleotide ribosomal RNA is filed under the name uncultured bacterium. RNAcentral describes it as "partial 16S ribosomal RNA". It matches the Rfam family "Bacterial small subunit ribosomal RNA", at positions 338 to 795 of the family's 1533-position model. The record is from RNAcentral.